GCAAAACGCGAAGAACCUUACCAGGUCUUGACAUCCUCUGACAACCCUAGAGAUAGGGCGUUCCCCUUCGGGGGACAGAGUGACAGGUGGUGCAUGGUUGUCGUCAGCUCGUGUCGUGAGAUGUUGGGUUAAGUCCCGCAACGAGCGCAACCCUUGAUGUUAGUUGCCAGCAUUCAGUUGGGCACUCUAACGUGACUGCCGGUGACAAACCGGAGGAAGGUGGGGAUGACGUCAAAUCAACAUGCCCCUUAUGACCUGGGCUACACACGUGCUACAAUGGGCGGUACAAAGGGCAGCGAAACCGCGAGGUGGAGCCAAUCCCAUAAAGCCGCUCUCAGUUCGGAUUGCAGGCUGCAACUCGCCUGCAUGAAGCCGGAAUUGCUAGUAAUCGCGGAUCAGCAUGCCGCGGUGAAUACGUUCCCGGGUCUUGUACACACCG
This 439-nucleotide ribosomal RNA is filed under the name uncultured bacterium. RNAcentral describes it as "bacterial SSU rRNA". It matches the Rfam family "Bacterial small subunit ribosomal RNA", at positions 954 to 1392 of the family's 1533-position model. The record is from RNAcentral.